CGAGCGAAGCACUUUGCUUAGAUUCUUCGGAUGAAGAGGAUUGUGACUGAGCGGCGGACGGGUGAGUAACGCGUGGGUAACCUGCCUCAUACAGGGGGAUAACAGUUAGAAAUGACUGCUAAUACCGCAUAAGACCACAGCACCGCAUGGUGCGGGGGUAAAAACUCCGGUGGUAUGAGAUGGACCCGCGUCUGAUUAGCUAGUUGGUAAGGUAACGGCUUACCAAGGCGACGAUCAGUAGCCGACCUGAGAGGGUGACCGGCCACAUUGGGACUGAGACACGGCCCAAACUCCUACGGGAGGCAGCAGUGGGGAAUAUCGCACAAUGGGGGAAACCCUGAUGCAGCGACGCCGCGUGAGCGAAGAAGUAUUUCGGUAUGUAAAGCUCUAUCAGCAGGGAAGAAAAAGACGGUACCUGACUAAGAAGCACCGGCUAAAUACGUGCCGGCAGCCGCGGUAAUACGUAUGGUGCAAGCGUUAUCCGGAUUUACUGGGUGUAAAGGGAGCGUAGACGGAUGGGCAAGUCUGAUGUGAAAACCCGGGGCUCAACCCCGGGACUGCAUUGGAAACUGUUCAUCUAGAGUGCUGGAGAGGUAAGUAGAAUUCCUAGUGUAGCGGUGAAAUGCGUAGAUAUUAGGAGGAACACCAGUGGCGAAGGCG
This 660-nucleotide ribosomal RNA is filed under the name uncultured Lachnospiraceae bacterium. Its description in RNAcentral is "bacterial SSU rRNA". It matches the Rfam family "Bacterial small subunit ribosomal RNA", at positions 63 to 723 of the family's 1533-position model. The record is from RNAcentral. Lineage: Bacteria; Bacillati; Bacillota; Clostridia; Lachnospirales; Lachnospiraceae.